UGCGUAGGCGGAAUGAUAAGUUAGUGGUGAAAGCCCCCGGCUCAACCGGGGAACUGCCAUUAAUACUGUCAUUCUUGAGUAUAGUUGAAGUGGGCGGAAUGUAUCAUGUAGCGGUGAAAUGCUUAGAUAUGAUACAGAACACCAAUAGCGUAGGCAGCUUGCUAAACUAUAACUGACGCUCAGGCACGAAAGCGUGGGGAGCAAACAGGAUUAGAUACCCUGGUAGUCC
RNAcentral lists this ribosomal RNA (229 nucleotides) under uncultured bacterium. Its description in RNAcentral is "partial 16S ribosomal RNA". It matches the Rfam family "Bacterial small subunit ribosomal RNA", at positions 568 to 796 of the family's 1533-position model. The record is from RNAcentral.